This 253-nucleotide ribosomal RNA is filed under the name uncultured bacterium. Its description in RNAcentral is "partial 16S ribosomal RNA". It matches the Rfam family "Bacterial small subunit ribosomal RNA", at positions 524 to 776 of the family's 1533-position model. The record is from RNAcentral.
UACGUAGGGUGCCGGCGUUAAUCGGAAUUACUGGGCGUAAAGCGUGCGCAGGCGGUCUUUUAAGUCAGAUGUGAAAUCCCCGGGCUUAACCUGGGAACUGCGUUUGAAACUGGAAGGCUAGAGUGUGGCAGAGGGGGGUGGAAUUCCACGUGUAGCAGUGAAAUGCGUAGAGAUGUGGAGGAACACCGAUGGCGAAGGCAGCCCCCUGGGCUAACACUGACGCUCAUGCACGAAAGCGUGGGGAGCAAACAGG